AGUGGACGCUGGCGGUAGGCCUAACACAUGCAAGUCGAACGGCAGCACAGUAAGAGCUUGCUCUUACGGGUGGCGAGUGGCGGACGGGUGAGGAAUACAUCGGAAUCUACUUUUUCGUGGGGGAUAACGUAGGGAAACUUACGCUAAUACCGCAUACGACCUACGGGUGAAAGCAGGGGAUCUUCGGACCUUGCGCGAUUGAAUGAGCCGAUGUCGGAUUAGCUAGUUGGCGGGGUAAAGGCCCACCAAGGCGACGAUCCGUAGCUGGUCUGAGAGGAUGAUCAGCCACACUGGAACUGAGACACGGUCCAGACUCCUACGGGAGGCAGCAGCGGGGAAUAUUGGACAAUGGGCGCAAGCCUGAUCCAGCCAUACCGCGUGGGUGAAGAAGGCCUUCGGGUUGUAAAGCCCUUUUGUUGGGAAAGAAAAGCAGCAGGUUAAUACCCCGCUGUUCUGACGGUACCCAAAGAAUAAGCACCGGCUAACUUCGUG
This 492-nucleotide ribosomal RNA is filed under the name uncultured bacterium. Its description in RNAcentral is "partial 16S ribosomal RNA". It matches the Rfam family "Bacterial small subunit ribosomal RNA", at positions 29 to 507 of the family's 1533-position model. The record is from RNAcentral.